RNAcentral lists this ribosomal RNA (253 nucleotides) under uncultured bacterium. Its description in RNAcentral is "partial 16S ribosomal RNA". It matches the Rfam family "Bacterial small subunit ribosomal RNA", at positions 524 to 776 of the family's 1533-position model. The record is from RNAcentral.
UACGGGGGGGGCAAGCGUUGUUCGGAAUUACUGGGCGUAAAGGGCGCGUAGGCGGCCUGUUAAGUCGGACGUGAAAUCCCUCGGCUCAACCGGGGAACUGCGUCCGAUACUGGCGGGCUUGAGUUCGGGAGAGGGAUGUGGAAUUCCAGGUGUAGCGGUGAAAUGCGUAGAUAUCUGGAGGAACACCGGUGGCGAAGGCGGCAUCCUGGACCGACAUUGACGCUGAGGCGCGAAAGCCAGGGGAGCAAACGGG